GAUGAACGCUGGCGGCGUGCCUAAUACAUGCAAGUCGAGCGAACAGACGAGGAGCUUGCUCCUCUGACGUUAGCGGCGGACGGGUGAGUAACACGUGGAUAACCUACCUAUAAGACUGGGAUAACUUCGGGAAACCGGAGCUAAUACCGGAUAAUAUCUUGAACCGCAUGGUUCAAUAGUGAAAGACGGUUUUGCUGUCACUUAUAGAUGGAUCCGCGCCGCAUUAGCUAGUUGGUAAGGUAACGGCUUACCAAGGCGACGAGGCGUAGCCGACCUGAGAGGGUGAUCGGCCACACUGGAACUGAGACACGGUCCAGACUCCUACGGGAGGCAGCAGUAGGGAAUCUUCCGCAAUGGGCGAAAGCCUGACGGAGCAACGCCGCGUGAGUGAUGAAGGUCUUCGGAUCGUAAAACUCUGUUAUUAGGGAAGAACAAAUGUGUAAGUAACUAUGCACGUCUUGACGGUACCUAAUCAGAAAGCCACGGCUAACUACGUG
RNAcentral lists this ribosomal RNA (497 nucleotides) under uncultured bacterium. RNAcentral describes it as "partial 16S ribosomal RNA". It matches the Rfam family "Bacterial small subunit ribosomal RNA", at positions 28 to 507 of the family's 1533-position model. The record is from RNAcentral.